RNAcentral lists this ribosomal RNA (242 nucleotides) under uncultured bacterium. RNAcentral describes it as "partial 16S ribosomal RNA". It matches the Rfam family "Bacterial small subunit ribosomal RNA", at positions 89 to 334 of the family's 1533-position model. The record is from RNAcentral.
UGGCGAGUGGCGGACGGGUGAGGAAUACAUCGGAAUCUGCCCAGUCGUGGGGGAUAACGUAGGGAAACUUACGCUAAUACCGCAUACGACCGAGAGGUGAAAGCGGGGGAUCGCAAGACCUCGCGCGAUUGGAUGAGCCGAUGUCGGAUUAGCUAGUUGGCGGGGUAAAGGCCCACCAAGGCGACGAUCCGUAGCUGGUCUGAGAGGAUGAUCAGCCACACUGGAACUGAGACACGGUCCAG